RNAcentral lists this ribosomal RNA (589 nucleotides) under Hanseniaspora uvarum. Its description in RNAcentral is "partial large subunit ribosomal RNA". It matches the Rfam family "Eukaryotic large subunit ribosomal RNA", at positions 65 to 664 of the family's 3401-position model. The record is from RNAcentral. Lineage: Eukaryota; Fungi; Ascomycota; Saccharomycetes; Saccharomycodales; Saccharomycodaceae.
CCCCUGGGCAUUACUUAGUACGGCGAGUGAAGCGGUAAAAGCUCAAAUUUGAAAUCUGGUACUUUCAGUGCCCGAGUUGUAAUUUGUAGAAUUUGUCUUUGAUUAGGUCCUUGUCUAUGUUCCUUGGAACAGGACGUCAUAGAGGGUGAGAAUCCCGUUUGGCGAGGAUACCUUUUCUUUGUAAGACUUUUUCGAAGAGUCGAGUUGUUUGGGAAUGCAGCUCAAAGUGGGUGGUAAAUUCCAUCUAAAGCUAAAUAUUGGCGAGAGACCGAUAGCGAACAAGUACAGUGAUGGAAAGAUGAAAAGAACUUUGAAAAGAGAGUGAAAAAGUACGUGAAAUUGUUGAAAGGGAAGGGCAUUUGAUCAGACAUGGUGUUUUUUGCAUGCACUCGCCUCUCGUGGGCUUGGGCCUCUCAAAAAUUUCACUGGGCCAACAUCAAUUCUGGCAGCAGGAUAAAUCAUUAAGAAUGUAGCUACUUCGGUAGUGUUAUAGCUUUUUGGAAUACUGUUAGCCGGGAUUGAGGACUGCGCUUCGGCAAGGAUGUUGGCAUAAUGGUUAAAUGCCGCCCGUCUUGAACCCACGGGACCA